UGAGUUUGUACAUGCAAGUCGAGCGGAUUUUUUGCAGCUUGCUACAAACUGUUAGCGGCGGACGGGUGAGUAACACGUAGGCAACCUGCCCUUGAGACCGGGAUAACAUUCGGAAACGAAUGCUAAGACCGGAUAGGCAGCGAGGCGGCAUCGCCUUGCUGAGAAACACGGUGCAAGCUGUGGCUUGAGGAUGGGCCUGCGGCGCAUUAGCUAGUUGGUGGGGUAACGGCUCACCAAGGCGACGAUGCGUAGCCGACCUGAGAGGGUGAACGGCCACACUGGGACUGAGACACGGCCCAGACUCCUACGGGAGGCAGCAGUAGGGAAUCUUCCACAAUGGGCGCAAGCCUGAUGGAGCAACGCCGCGUGAGUGAGGAAGGCUUUCGGGUCGUAAAGCUCUGUUGCCAGGGAAGAAUAAGGAUGUGUUAACUGCACAUUCGAUGACGGUACCUGAGGAAAGCCCCGGCUAACUACGUGCCAGCAGCCGCGGUAAUACGUAGG
RNAcentral lists this ribosomal RNA (501 nucleotides) under Cohnella sp. Bacteria_3. RNAcentral's name for it is "bacterial SSU rRNA". It matches the Rfam family "Bacterial small subunit ribosomal RNA", at positions 45 to 531 of the family's 1533-position model. The record is from RNAcentral. Lineage: Bacteria; Bacillati; Bacillota; Bacilli; Caryophanales; Paenibacillaceae.